GAAGGUGGUUGAGAGGCAGAGCUGCCCCUGAGUAAGCCAUGCAGAGGAUCUCCUCCCUCAUCCAUCUCUCCCUCUUCUGGACAGGAGUCAUGUCAGCCAUUGAGUUGGUGCCUGAACACCAAACAGUGACUGUGUCAGUGGGGGUCCCUGCAACCCUCAGGUGCUCCAUGAAAGGGGAAGCGAUCAGUAACUACUAUAUCAACUGGUACAGGAAGACCCAAGGUAACACAAUGACUUUCAUAUACCGAGAAAAGGGCAUCUAUGGCCGUGGUUUCAAGGACAAUUUCAAAGGUGACAUUGAUAUUGCAAAGGACCUGGCUAUACUUAAGAUCCUUGCACCAUCAGAGAGAGAUGAAGGAUCUUACUACUGUGCCAGUGACACCUGCGGUAGUGCUUUGACAGCAAAACUCUUCUUUGGAAAGGGAACACAACUCAUCGUGGAACCAGAAAGUCAGCCUCAUACCAAACCAUCCGUUUUCGUCAUGAAAAAUGGAACAAAUGUCGCUUGUCUGGUGAAGGAAUUCUACCCCAAGGAUAUAAGAAUAAAUCUUGAGUCAUCCAAGAAGAUAACAGAGUUUGAUCCUGCUAUUGUCAUCUCUCCCAGUGGGAAGUACAAUGCUGUCAAGCUUGGUCAAUAUGAAGAUUCAAAUUCAGUGACAUGUUCAGUUCAACACGACAAUAAAACUGUGCACUCCACUGAUUUUGAAGUGAAGAAAAAUUCUACAGAUCACCUAAAACCAAUGGAAACUGAAAACACAAAGCAACCUUCAAAGAGCCCAAUGGAAACUGAAAACACAAAGCACCCUUCAAAGAGCUGCCAUAAACCCAAAGUUCAUACCGAGAAGAUGAACAUGAUGUCCCUCACAGUGCUGGGGCUACGAAUGCUGUUUGCAAAGAGUGUUGCCAUCAAUUUUCUCUUGACUGCCAAGUUAUUUUUCUUGUAAGGCUGACUGGCAUGAGGAAGCUAUACUCUUGAAGAAACCAAAGGCUUACAAAAUUGCAUCUCCUUGGCUUCUGACUUCUUUGUGAUUCAAGUCGACCUGUCAUAGCCUUGUUAAAAUGGCUGCUAGCCAAACCAAUUUUUCUUCAAAGACAACAAACCCAACUCACCCUCCAGCUUGAUGGGAAGACAAAAGUCCUGGGGAAGGGGGGUUUAUGUCCUAACUGCUUUAUAUGCUGUUUUAUAAAGGGAUAGAAGGAUAUAAAAAGA
Non-coding RNA from Symphalangus syndactylus (siamang), 1210 nucleotides. The record is from the annotation of a RefSeq genome assembly. Lineage: Eukaryota; Metazoa; Chordata; Mammalia; Primates; Hylobatidae.